UGGAUCAGUGAUGAUCAAUACCAGUAUAUGAGUCAUGGAUGAUGAAUAAUAUGUGUCUGGAACUCUGAGGUCCAA
Molecule: small nucleolar RNA, 75 nt
Organism: Bos grunniens (domestic yak)
Lineage: Eukaryota; Metazoa; Chordata; Mammalia; Artiodactyla; Bovidae
Source: Ensembl